UAAUACGGAGGGUGCAAGCGUUAUCCGGAUUCACUGGGUUUAAAGGGUGUGUAGGCGGGCUGUUAAGUCAGUGGUGAAAUCUCCGGGCUCAACCCGGAAACUGCCAUUGAUACUAUCAGUCUUGAAUUCUGUUGAGGUGGGCGGAAUAUGUCAUGUAGCGGUGAAAUGCAUAGAUAUGACAUAGAACACCAAUUGCGAAGGCAGCUCACUAAGCAGAUAUUGACGCUGAGGCACGAAAGCGUGGGGAUCAAACAGGAUUAGAUACCCUGGUAGUCCACGCCCUAAACGAUGAUUACUCGACAUACGCGAUACACAGUGUGUGUCUGAGCGAAAGCAUUAAGUAAUCCACCUGGGAAGUACGUCCGCAAGGAUGAAACUUAAAUGAAUUGACGG
RNAcentral lists this ribosomal RNA (393 nucleotides) under uncultured bacterium. RNAcentral's name for it is "bacterial SSU rRNA". It matches the Rfam family "Bacterial small subunit ribosomal RNA", at positions 521 to 916 of the family's 1533-position model. The record is from RNAcentral.